ACGAAUAUAUGUCUGUUAAAGACAUUUUUCUCUUUCAAACACCUGUGAAUUUUAUAAAAAUUUUUUGCUUUGGCUGAAAUUAAUAUAUAUAUAUAUAUAUAUAUAUAUAUAUUCGGCCAAAAGUUUUUAAUUAAAACCUUUUUAUUUAUAAACAUUUUGAAUCUGAAGAACUGUUUUAUGAAAAAUUUAUUUA
Molecule: unclassified non-coding RNA, 193 nt
Filed under: uncultured Saccharomycetes
Lineage: Eukaryota; Fungi; Ascomycota; Saccharomycetes
Description: sequence contains ITS1
Source: RNAcentral